Molecule: ribosomal RNA, 112 nt
Filed under: Rhododendron griersonianum
Lineage: Eukaryota; Viridiplantae; Streptophyta; Magnoliopsida; Ericales; Ericaceae
Source: RNAcentral
UGCGAUCAUACCAGCACUAAUGCACCGGAUCCCAUUAGAACUCCACAGUUAAGUGUGCUUGGGCGAGAGUAGUACUAGGAUGGGUGACCCCCUGGGAAGUCCUCGUGUUGCA